Molecule: transfer RNA, 65 nt
Filed under: Menida lata
Lineage: Eukaryota; Metazoa; Arthropoda; Insecta; Hemiptera; Pentatomidae
Description: tRNA-Tyr
Source: RNAcentral
AAUAGGGUGACUGAAAAUUAGGUGAUAAAUUGUAAAUUUAUUUAUGGCUAAUAUGCCUCCUAUUA